This 403-nucleotide unclassified non-coding RNA is filed under the name soil metagenome. RNAcentral describes it as "partial contains 5.8S ribosomal RNA, internal transcribed spacer 2, and large subunit ribosomal RNA". The stretch from base 1 to 121 matches the Rfam family "5.8S ribosomal RNA", at positions 35 to 154 of the family's 154-position model. The record is from RNAcentral.
GAUGAAGAACGCAGCGAAAUGCGAUAAGUAAUGUGAAUUGCAGAAUUCAGUGAAUCAUCGAAUCUUUGAACGCACCUUGCACCCUUUGGCUAUUCCGAAGGGUAUGCCUGUUUGAGUAUCAUGAACACCUCAACUCUCAUGGUUUGCCAUGAUGAGCUUGGACUUUGGGGGUCUUGCUGGCCUGUGGUCAGCUCCUCUCAAAUGGAUUAGCUUGCCAGUGUUUGGUGGCAUCACAGGUGUGAUAACUAUCUACGCUUGUGGUUUUCCACCAGGUAACCUUCAGCAAUGGGGGUUCGCUGGGGCUCAUAAAUGUCUCUCCUCAGCGAGGACAGCUCUUUGAACGUUUGAUCUCAAAUCAGGUAGGACUACCCGCUGAACUUAAGCAUAUUCAAUAAGCGGAGGA